AGUGAACGCUGGCGGUAGGCCUAACACAUGCAAGUCGAACGGCAGCACAGUAAGAGCUUGCUCUUACGGGUGGCGAGUGGCGGACGAGUGAGGAAUACAUCGGAAUCUACUUUUUCGUGGGGGAUAACGUAGGGAAACUUACGCUAAUACCGCAUACGACCUACGGGUGAAAGCAGGGGAUCUUCGGACCUUGCGCGAUUGAAUGAGCCGAUGUCGGAUUAGCUAGUUGGCGGGGUAAAGGCCCACCAAGGCGACGAUCCGUAGCUGGUCUGAGAGGAUGAUCAGCCACACUGGAACUGAGACACGGUCCAGACUCCUACGGGAGGCAGCAGUGGGGAAUAUUGGACAAUGGGCGCAAGCCUGAUCCAGCCAUACCGCGUGGGUGCAGAAGGCCUUCGGGUUGUAAAGCCCUUUUGUUGGGAAAGAAAAGCAGCAGGUUAAUACCCCGCUGUUCUGACGGUACCCAAAGAAUAAGCACCGGCUAACUUCGUG
Molecule: ribosomal RNA, 492 nt
Filed under: uncultured bacterium
Lineage: Bacteria
Description: partial 16S ribosomal RNA
Rfam family: Bacterial small subunit ribosomal RNA
Source: RNAcentral